RNAcentral lists this long non-coding RNA (306 nucleotides) under Gossypium raimondii (Peruvian cotton). Its description in RNAcentral is "long non-coding RNA (GRAI_LNC008448)". The record is from RNAcentral. Lineage: Eukaryota; Viridiplantae; Streptophyta; Magnoliopsida; Malvales; Malvaceae.
UUCCGAGUCGUGCGGCGGCUGGAUGCUGUGCUGGAGGCUGCUGAAAGCAUUGCUCGGGGCCGGGGCUGCUGUUUUUUUCUGUUUAGGGUUUCUUUUUUUGGGGGGGGCUAGGGUUUAGUUGGGUAUUAGGUUAAUGGGUUUGUUGGCCAGUUGGACUUUAUUUAUUUUUAGUUUAAAUUUGUUUUUUACUUGGUUUUAUUUGCAUAUGGGCUGGGCAAAUUUUGGGCUUGUACAUCCUUAUUUGCAUUAACUAUUGAAAAUGUAUUUAAAAUUUUGUAUUAAUUUGUACUUUAUGUAUCAUUAUAU